Long non-coding RNA from Juglans microcarpa x Juglans regia, 194 nucleotides. RefSeq lists it as uncharacterized. NCBI's taxonomy places the organism in Eukaryota, Viridiplantae, Streptophyta, Magnoliopsida, Fagales, Juglandaceae. The transcript has 2 exons. The record is from RefSeq and is a predicted model, not a curated record.
CCAUAAAAAAACUGCUCCCAUGUAAAAAAUCUGCUGCCAUAAAAAAUAAAAAUCUGCUAUAAAAAUAUAAAAUCUGAUAUAUUAAAAAAAAAAAAAAACUGUAACAACAAAAUAAACCUUAUAUCAGAAGCUCAUUAAAGUUUUUACAAUAUGCAGUUAUGCACAUAUUGAUACCAGUUCACAAAAAAUACACA